AAUAUGAAGCCCGCCAAAUUCCCCAAAGAACAAUUUACAGUUAUGGAUGAGUACACUGUCACAGUCAAAUUUGAACUCCGUGGAUGUGUGUGUUGAAGACAGUGGAAUGCUGAGUGAUUCCAGAGAGCACUUAAGCUGCCUUGAAUUCGGUUUUCUGUUCCCACCCGCGUUCUAACAGGAGAGGGGCUUUUCUUUGGAGUUUGCAAGGGGGUAAACACUGGGUAUCUGCUUUCUGAGUCAUUUAGCAUCGUCCUCUGUCACCUUCCUCAUAUAUUCUAAACAGUGUUUUCAGGUUUUGUCGGGCCAGCCUGAACGAGACUAACCCCCCAAUUUAUUUGAUUUUGUUCCUCUUGGCAGUUCCGCUGAAGACCUAUCUGAACUUUUCAUGGAUUUGUUUGGCUGUGGUUUUGAUGUGCGUGUUGUUAUUUUUUUUUUUUUCUUCUUCUUCUUCUUCUUCUCCGUCUUCCAAGUCUGUGUAGUCGACGGUGCCUGAGUGCCAGGCCCUGCUUUUGUCUCGGGCCCAGAGAAGGAAUUUGAUGUGAGACUUAUUUUCCUACCGAGUCAGUUUCUUUGAGCAUAUUUCUCCCGCUUCUGUUUUUUUUUUUUUUCUCUCUCUCUUGUUUUGUUUUUGUUUUGUUUUUUCUAAUAGUCCUGGAAGUUUGGGACACUUCUUUUGAGGCAGGUGACGCUGCGAUUUGACUGCUCUCGCAUACCUGUGCAGGUGUGCACACGCUUGUUGUAUUUAUUUAACCGGUCUCUCUUUCUCUCUAAAAAAAAAAAAAGUACUUUAAUUGAGAGGCCUGUUAAAACGUCACUGAAAUCAGUCAGGCGAAAGCAGGAGGGAAGUGUGAUGGGGGUGAAAAGGAGACCUGGAUUCCAUUAGAUUAAGGAGGAUCAUCAUAGUAGAGGUUUUUGGAUGAAGGGAGAGACGGCUCAAUCCUGACGGCUGUUUUUCACGAGAGGAAGUCUAAACUAACAUGUCAGACCACUUUUUCUCAUCAGCAGGAUGUGCUAUAGACGCCCAGCGUCGGCCAGACAUCGCUUUUUUGCGAAAGAUGCAGAGAAUUGCAUGCUGGGAAAAUAAUAAACAAGCCUGUCACCAAAGUUGGGAAGAAUCCUUAGUGCAGCGUUACUGUCAAGAAGAAGCUUCCAUUUCAUACAUUAUUAACAUUACCUAAACGCAUUAUUUGUGUAUUUAUUCAUUCAUUUGUCUUGUUAACAUCCUCCUGGAGUAAGAUAAACAGCACGACCAGACUGGCUGUGUGACAGUUGUGUUGAGAGAUUUGAAUAAAAAGCCCGGCAGCGUGAUUGGAGCGAGACAGGAGCCGAUUCUAUGGACACCAGACUUCCUCUCCAGGCUCAUUAAGGGACAGUAAGGCGAUGAUGUCGAAUCGGCGCGCACUUUACCGGCCUGCCUUUUUCUUUGAACAGCAUCGCCCUCUUAUCUGCAACAUGCUCUGUUCCUCCAUAACAAGACGCUCCCACUCCUAUGCACACAACACACACGCUCUGUCUGUCUCUGCCUCCACGCGCGCACACACACACACACAUUGUGCCUGCAUACACACUCUUCAUACUUAUUUAGUUUGUGUAGACAGAAAACUCUUAAGUAUGUGGCUUGUCCACAGAAUUUUGGCAGCUUUUGUUGUAUUUUCUCCUACGCUAUCGAAAAAGCCUGGUACUUGUUUUUUUUUUUUGUUCUUUUUUUCUGCACAGACAUCACAAAUGGAUAUUUUAAUUGGAACUUUUGGCACUGUCUCCAUCUUGUGUUGGAAUGGCAGACAAGUGAGUGGCUGGCGAGGCCGGGGCCGGGCUGAUUGGUGUGUAGCGAGGCGUGCCUAAAUCAACUGGCAGCAUGAAUAGCUCGCUUGAUUCUCACUGGCAUUCACUGGAAUCCAUGGUAGUCUUUUUUAAAACAAGAUUCUUUCUUUUGGGAAAAAAAAAAAAGAAGUCUGGAAUAACCAACAAGGGACAGAGAAUACCUCCUGCUUCCUUGAAGCAUGACUCCCCUUUUGUUUUGGUGGUGCAAUUUACCCGCCUUUAUGCCAACUCACUUUUUUGGUGCUUUUGUCAUGUCAGGAUAAAACGGCUAACCUAUGUUAUGUUGCUGUAUUCCAGCCAAAGAUUCAUUCAUUCACUGCACAACUUCAUAUUGAGGUUUUUGAAAUGUUAAUGUGCUCACGGUAAUGGAAAUAAUCACGUUACCGUAAUGAUUUAUCAUUGCACUCUUGAUGUUUUUAUUCCACUAACUCAAAGCGGAGUGGUAAGCCUGUUGGGAUUAGUGAAGAGUAACUGAAAAUAAAAACUGAUGGUAUCAGCCCUGAAGAUGAUUUAAAAUAUCUGCUUUUUGAAGUGACAUUCAGUCUUCAGACUGUGUGACUCCUGUUAUGCACGACUGUGUUUGUCUGAAGCUGCUCGGAGAAAUAGUGAUGUCAUACUAAGAUUUCUGUGCACCGACCAUCAAGUUCAAGCAUGAGGACUGAGGCAAAAAGAGAGCUGAUCAAAUGUGAUUAAAUGCAAUGUAACAUAGUUAGAAACCUGGAUAAAUCCUCAACACGGUCAAUUUUAUUUCUUCUUUUAUACAUUUUUUAUAUAAAGGCUCUACCACUGUCAUUUCUGUGCCAGAAAUUGGAGCAGUUUUCCAAAUUUUGUCAGAGAUUAAACCCGCACAUGGUACCACUGUGUAAUUCAUUCAUGUACCUUUUUAGGAAUUCGCUCCAGCGAAAGCUCACUCUGGCUCCACUGCAGCAGCUUAAUGCAAACCACAUGCUUGAGCCGCCCAUCUGCAUAAGUACACACCUGUUUAAACUGUGGACAGUCUUUUACCUCUAAACUGUAAAUUCAGGCACACUCACACCAGAGGCAAAGCAGCUGCACAGCCGGGUCAGGUUGGAGUCAUUGUAAUCCUCCUCGACAUAAUAUAGUCCUUGUGUUUGGCUGGGUUUGUGUGUGUGUGUGUGUGUGAGGAGGGAGCAGGAGAAAGAAUGGGAGAAAGAUAUCGUGUGUGUGUGUGUGCAGGCUGGGUUGUGUGAUCUGUAUACUCUGUGCUUGCAAAUAAGUGUUUUUGUGUAUGUGUGUGUGUGUGUGUGGUAGUGGGCCUUUCUCUCCUGGCUGGUAGUCAGUGCUGUGUAAUUACCUGGCUGUCUGCCACCGAGCCCCACUGGAGCAGAGACAGAAGUGGAGCUGUGUCUUACACAACGUAACACAGCAGCCCAUCUGAACCACUGGCCCAGAGUUUGUUCAGCUUGGGGUCUGGACACAAUAUGGGGUCUCUUGAGACGCAAGCAGGGUCAGGGAAGAUUUCUACAGACUGAUGAGUCAAGAUGUAUAUAUUUAGAUGCAUUCUACAAAAGUGCAUCCUCACUUCUGUAGAAUUCAUUUGGAGCUACAUUCAUAAAAAAAUAAACCAGACUUAAAAUCACAUAUGAUCUCGUUGCUUGGAUCAUGAUCAUUUUGGAAAAAAGUUACGACAAAUAAUUAUAUCCAUGCCACACAUGAAUAUGAUUUAAAAGUCUUAAGUUUGAGAUACCAAGAAAAUUGAAUGAAUUGCAUAAUUAAUUAAUUAAUGGGUAAUUUUGUCUAACUGAUUUAUAGACGAGUGAUUACUGAAGUAAAUACAGGGCCACAGGCCAGAAAAUAUUGUGAAAUGCUGCACGGCUGCCACAGGGCAGAAAAGUCUUAACUGACAGACAUAGACGGAAACAGGGCCAGCCAAUCAGAAGCCAGGAGAAGCCACAAGACAGAUUUACAGCGCUGGCAUAAAAGAACAUCUCUCAACUGCCUUGAUAUGAGCAAAAAGGGAAGGCCUCGGCAGAACCUGGCACAUCAAAGGCUACCUCCCCUAGUCUUACAAGUUGCCUGUCUCUUUGGAGGAGCCCGGGCUUCGGAGAGAGCCAGAAAAGGGGAUUGGAGAGGCGCUGUGGAUUCCCGGCUGGAAUGAGUUUGAUGGGCUAAUUGUAGCCCCCAGUGGACACAGGCACUCAUCACAGAGGGCCGGCUGAGAGCGGGGAGCAGAAAGUGUGGGUGAGGAGCAGCAGUGUGGCUGGAAAACACUCCUGCUAGCUUUGCCCUUCAUCUCUGGAUAUCUGCACAUGGCUCUCCGGUGCCUUUGAUUUCAGUAUCCUGUCCUGACUAUAUGGAUGUCAGAAAUAUUCCCGACAUAUAUCACUCUUUUUCUCAGCCGUUCCCAUCAUUAAUAUCGUUGCACAUUUCAGUUUUUUCUUGGCUCUGCAAACCUGGCAACUCCCAUGAGUAGUCCUGCCUAUCUUUGUGUUUUCCCACAAGCCUGCAUUUUUUCUUCUUCUUUUUUUUUUUUUUUGAUGGAGCUGUAGGCCCUAUCUGCUCACGUUGACAUCCUCCAUCAAAAUAAACACCUUCUCCAGGCGAUUGAAGCACAUUAAUGAUGCAGGCACAUCGGCGAGCAUUGUUAGGAGUGCAUGUUGGUCACUACAUUUAAUAAGCUUUCUUGACCGCGCAGAGGUCGAACUGGAACACGGCGCAUAACCAAACGAAUGUAAUGCACGGACUAAUCCCCGUGCCUCACUACCAACAACGUUACUAACCCGGCUCCACUGUAGUGUUGAUCAAAAACAAAAAAAUCUCUCCGCAGCUUUGAACAGUUCUCUUUUUUUUCCCCAUCUGCAUCAAAAAGAAAUCAAUAGCUGAAACUUUUGAGCGCAUGUAUCAGUUUCCCCUCACCACGCUCCCUAUACCACUGCCAGUUUGGCAGUUGCACAUUAUGCCACAAGAGUAAAAGACAGUUAAAAGGAGGAAUGGCACAAGAAGAUGACACCGGCAAGGAAGUGGCUUGUGUUGGGUAGAGGGGGCCUUGGUUUGGUAGAAAAAUCAAUGGGAGGGAACACUUCCAUACACGGAAAUGGCACAAUGGGAGGGAGAGGAGAGAGUAAAGAUUUUAUUUUUAUUUUUUUACUGAAAAAUGAUGCAUUUGUUUUACCAAGGGAGAGAAAAAGCAAAGACGAUGAGAGGGAGAGGCAGAGAGAGAGAGAGAGAAAACACUCUUCUGAACAUCUUUGAAAAAAGCAAGUUCUUUGGUGAGGUUGAGUUGUGUGGUUAAGGUUUGUUUUAUCCAACUGUGCGGAAGCGUGUGUAGCUGUCUUUCAGGUCUCUUUUUAGUUGAAGCGCAGAAAGACUACUCAUGGCAUGUUCAAGGGCACUCGGUGGACACGGAUGCCCUGCAGGAGGCGGAAUUAUGAAUACAACAUGAGUAAACAGACACCUACAUAUACUAUUAAAAUAGUAAGCUUAGUAAUUGGCAAGAGACCAUCCUAAGUAGUAAUUUGAGCUGGUCCGUAGCAGUGCAACCUUACUCUUCUGAGGGUCAUUGAUAAAGACUUGUGAAAAAUCAGCUCUAAUUUGCCUGAUAGUGGAAUCAUUUGCACAUUGGCAGUAAUGUAUUCCUGUGUGCAUUCCUCCAAUACAAGCCUUUUAGUAUUCAGUUUAGUGAUAAAGGAUUUUUUUACACAGCAGCUGUGAACAAAGAAUACAAUAGCGCACAAACUCGAAACACAAUUCCGAGCCUGAGCCUUGAAUGGCAUUCAGACUUCAGUGUGACUGAGCGAACCCAUUCAGUAGGAGUACGCGGCGGUUGGAAAAGAUGGUAUCAAGUUGCCUGCAGAUGGAGGUCAGUGUGACUGGCACAGUUGGCACCUUGGCACAGCGGCAGUGUGCUGCAGCACUCAGCUCCGCAAAAAAGGAUGCGUCGACUGAAGGAGGGGACUUGGGGGGAGCGUUUUUUCUCACUUUUUAUUGUGUGCGCUUCCUGUUUUGAAAGCCAUUAAGGAGCAAAUUUCCUCACAGCGAGAGAGGAGAUGAAAAGGGCCCCGUCUUUUGAAACAUGUCCAAGCGCAAAUGUGAAAAAGAGGGGGAAUGAUAGCUAUCUGUAAACAUCUCUGUCGAGGGGUCGACGGAAAAGGAAUUGUGAAGGGAAUGAUACAUUCAUUUGCGUUCUCUCUCUCUCUCUCUCUCUUUUUUUUUUUUUUUUUUUUUUGAUUUGCUGAUGAAAGAGAUGCUGCAGUUUUUUGUUCCGAGCCAGCUGUAUUGCUCUAUUCACAACCACACUAAUAUAUCAGGGCAGGCUCACAUAACUACACAGCCACCACCCCUUAUCCCCCUUUCCGAAAAUGCUUUGUGACAUCUGCAUCCACACAUGUCUGCAUUCACUGUAGCCGGCGAGUAUUUAUAGACGGGUCGGUUUUGUCAUCUAUUGAUCCCUUCAGGUUCUCUGAUCACAAAACUGCACUUUUAAGUAGCUUUUUAUACGCUAUCAUAAAGGCGAUCUCUAUGUAUUUGAACUGAGAGCACCCGAGGUUACCUGCAGAAGCCGACCUGGUUACGAUGAUCAGCCUCUUAAGUCCAGCACUGGUACCAUCAGUUAGCCAUUUAACUGCCACAGCUGUCAUUUCUGUUUAGUUGGCAUACAGUAUAUUUACAGCAGUUUCCUCUCAGCGGUGCUCAGUUUCUCAAGAGUAGCAGUAGCUCGGUGCUGCAGACUCUCCUCCUCCUCCUCCUCCCUCUCCUCUUCCUCCUCCCUCUUCUACCCCUCACUGCCCCCGAGCCUGGCCAGUCUGUGCCUCUUAAUAAAACUGACAGGCUCUAAUUGGGCUUAAUUGCACCCUUCGGGCGUCGUCAAAAGGAGUGUUGCUAAACAAACUGCAGGGUCUGCAAGCAGGCCAGCCAGUCUACGGCACAGCGCGUUGGCCGCCGAGCUCGUGCCUGCAUGCAUGUGUUACGAAUCGCCAUCGAUAUGUGUGCGUUAAGAGCGUGCAUGAGUAAGCAUGGAGUGUAACUGCGUGGGUGUACGUGCAUCGAGGUUUGUGGCGAACCCAUUCAUUCCUCACCGUGAGCCAACAGAACAAGAGCUCACAAGUCUGAGAAUCUUGUGCAUUCAAGCAGGCAGCAUCACCUGACUGUGAAUCUCUCAGCGCUCUCUCUGACGCUAAAUCGACACAGACAGUAAAACAAGAGUACGUCUGUGUCUUUGAGGAAGUGUCUACAACUCCAGGUGUCAGAAAAGCCUUUUAAAAUCCCCACUAUUAUGAAAAACCCCUACCAAACAAAUCCCCGCCUUGCUUUUUCAGCGGUAUAAGCAAAAAAAAAAAAAAAAAAA
Molecule: long non-coding RNA, 7126 nt
Organism: Larimichthys crocea (large yellow croaker)
Lineage: Eukaryota; Metazoa; Chordata; Actinopteri; Sciaenidae
Exons: 2
Source: RefSeq, a predicted model, not a curated record